AUUGAACGCUGGCGGCAGGCCUAACACAUGCAAGUCGAGCGGAUGAAGGGAGCUUGCUCCUGGAUUCAGCGGCGGACGGGUGAGUAAUGCCUAGGAAUCUGCCUGGUAGUGGGGGAUAACGUCCGGAAACGGGCGCUAAUACCGCAUACGUCCUGAGGGAGAAAGUGGGGGAUCUUCGGACCUCACGCUAUCAGAUGAGCCUAGGUCGGAUUAGCUAGUUGGUGGGGUAAAGGCCUACCAAGGCGACGAUCCGUAACUGGUCUGAGAGGAUGAUCAGUCACACUGGAACUGAGAAACGGUCCAGACUCCGACGGGAGGCAGCGGUGGGGAAUAUUGGACAAUGGGCGAAAGCCUGAUCCAGCCAUGCCGCGUGUGUGAAGAAGGUCUUCGGAUGGAAAAGCACUUUAAGUUGGGAGGAAGGGCAGUAAGUUAAUACCUUGCUGUUUUGACGUUACCAACAGAAUAAGCACCGGCUAACUUCGU
RNAcentral lists this ribosomal RNA (483 nucleotides) under uncultured bacterium. RNAcentral describes it as "partial 16S ribosomal RNA". It matches the Rfam family "Bacterial small subunit ribosomal RNA", at positions 30 to 506 of the family's 1533-position model. The record is from RNAcentral.